Molecule: ribosomal RNA, 737 nt
Filed under: uncultured Planctomycetota bacterium
Lineage: Bacteria; Pseudomonadati; Planctomycetota
Description: bacterial SSU rRNA
Rfam family: Bacterial small subunit ribosomal RNA
Source: RNAcentral
GCGGCGAAAGGGUGAGUAACACGUAACUAACGUACCCCCCAGAUCGGGAUAGCCACUGGAAACGGUGGGUAAUACCGAAUGGUCCUCGGAGUGGCAUCACUCCAAUGGUAAACGGUGGCUUCGGCUGCUGCUGGAGGAGCGGGUUGCGGACUAUCAGCUUGUUGGUGAGGUAACGGCUCACCAAGGCUAUGACGGGCAGCGGGUCUGAGAGGAUGAUCCGUCACACUGGGACUGAGACACUGCCCAGACUCCUACGGGAGGCUGCAGUCGAGAAUCUUCCACAAUGGGCGAAAGCCUGAUGGAGCGACGCUGCGUGCAGGAUGAAGGCCUUAGGGUUGUAAACUGCUGUCACGCUAUAGGAAACUGCAGGGGUGAAUAGUCUCUGCACUGACCACAGCGAAAGGAAGUGCCGGCUAACUCCGUGCCAGCAGCCGCGGUAAGACGGAGGGCGCAAGCGUUGUUCGGAAUCACUGGGCAUAAAGGGCGCGUAGGCGGCCAGUUCAGUCGGAUGUGAAAUCCCCCGGCCCAACCGGGGAACUGCAUUCGAUACUGACUGGCUAGAGGAUGGUAGGAGCCAAUGGAACUCCAGGUGGAACGGUGAAAUGUGUAGAUAUCUGGAGGAACACCGGUGGCGAAAGCGAUUGGCUGGGCCAUUUCUGACGCUGAGGCGCGAAAGCUAGGGGAGCGAACGGGAUUAGAUACCCCGGUAGUCCUAGCCGUAAACGAUGGGUACUGGG